This 72-nucleotide transfer RNA is filed under the name Algisphaera agarilytica. It matches the Rfam family "tRNA". From Rfam's summary of the family: Transfer RNA (tRNA) molecules are approximately 80 nucleotides in length. Their secondary structure includes four short double-helical elements and three loops (D, anti-codon, and T loops). The record is from Rfam by way of RNAcentral. Lineage: Bacteria; Pseudomonadati; Planctomycetota; Phycisphaerae; Phycisphaerales; Phycisphaeraceae.
CACCUCGUAGCUCAACGGAAGAGCGUCGGUCUCCGAAGCCGAAGGCUGCAAGUUCGAGUCUUGCCGGGGUGA